UACAGAGGUCUCAAGCGUUGUUCGGAUUCAUUGGGCGUAAAGGGUGCGUAGGUGGCGGGGUAAGCCAGGUGUGAAAUCUCGGAGCUCAACUCCGAAACUGCACUUGAUACUGCCUUGCUUGAGUACUGGAGAGGAGAUUGGAAUUUACGGUGUAGCAGUGAAAUGCGUAGAUAUCGUAAGGAAGACCAGUGGCGAAGGCGAAUCUCUGGACAGUUACUGACACUGAGGCACGAAGGCCAGGGGAGCAAACGGG
This 253-nucleotide ribosomal RNA is filed under the name uncultured bacterium. RNAcentral's name for it is "partial 16S ribosomal RNA". It matches the Rfam family "Bacterial small subunit ribosomal RNA", at positions 524 to 776 of the family's 1533-position model. The record is from RNAcentral.